This 641-nucleotide long non-coding RNA is filed under the name Capsicum annuum. Its description in RNAcentral is "long non-coding RNA (CANN_LNC013533)". The record is from RNAcentral. Lineage: Eukaryota; Viridiplantae; Streptophyta; Magnoliopsida; Solanales; Solanaceae.
UUGAAUUAUCUUUCCAAUGAUACCAAUUUUGCCUAAAUAAAAUAUCGUAGCAAAACGUUAUUCCUAUUUUACUCCAGUAUGUCAGGCUGGAAACAGUGUGACGACAUUCAUGGUAGCUUACCAUAUUUGUGACACCCUACCAUGAAGGUCGUCAGCCUUAGGUAGAAUCCAACUCCUGUGCGAUUAAAUUCUUGGUAGCUUACCAUAUUUGUGACGCCCUACUACGAAGGUCUUCAUCCUUAGGCAGAAUUCAGCUCCUGUGUGACAACAUUCGUGGUAGCUUACCACAUUUGUGAUGCCCUAUGACGAAGGUCGUCAGCCUUAGGUAGAAACCAGCUCCUAAGUGACAACAUUCAUGGUAUCUUACCAAAUUUGAGAUUUCCUACCACGAAGGUCGUCAGACUUAGGCAGAAACCAUCAAUUCCAGCUUCUGUGAGACGACAUUUUUGAUGGCUUACCACAUUUUUGACGCCUUGUCACAAAUAUCGUCAGCUAUUAUUUUCAGCAACUGGGAAUUUAUUUCAUAAGGGUAUUUUUGUCUUUUCUCUUCACUUCCCACGACUUAUAACCCUCAAGGAAUGUAUUAUCUUCCAUUCUCUUUAGUUAAAACAUCUUAAAAAGCUCUCUCAUACACUUUCAAC